GGAGAGAUGGCCGAGUGGUUGAAGGCGCAGUCCUGGAAAGACUGUUUAUCGGUGACGGUAACAAGGGUUCGAAUCCCUUUCUCUCCG
Molecule: transfer RNA, 87 nt
Filed under: Elusimicrobiota bacterium
Lineage: Bacteria; Pseudomonadati; Elusimicrobiota
Also listed under: 3 other names
Description: Elusimicrobia bacterium (gut metagenome) tRNA-Ser
Rfam family: tRNA
About the family: Transfer RNA (tRNA) molecules are approximately 80 nucleotides in length. Their secondary structure includes four short double-helical elements and three loops (D, anti-codon, and T loops). Further hydrogen bonds mediate the characteristic L-shaped molecular structure. tRNAs have two regions of fundamental functional importance: the anti-codon, which is responsible for specific mRNA codon recognition, and the 3' end, to which the tRNAs corresponding amino acid is attached (by aminoacyl-tRNA synthetases). tRNAs cope with the degeneracy of the genetic code in two manners: having more than one tRNA (with a specific anti-codon) for a particular amino acid; and 'wobble' base-pairing, i.e. permitting non-standard base-pairing at the 3rd anti-codon position.
Source: RNAcentral